CUCAAGGCUUUCAGCCUAAAUGAGUUACUCUCUAACUGCAAACUUAACACCUACCUUAAGUAAAUGCAAAAUCUACUUGGAUAUACGAAAAACCUUCCCUGUCUUCACAAAUGGAAAUAGCGGGGCUGGAGAUUUAGCUCAGCGGCAAAAGCGCCUGCCUGGCAAGCGCAAGAUUUCACUGAAAAUCAUUUGGAGGAACCCAAAAGUUUAG
This 211-nucleotide long non-coding RNA is filed under the name Chinchilla lanigera (long-tailed chinchilla). RNAcentral's name for it is "lncRNA (ENSCLAG00000025947.1)". The record is from RNAcentral. Lineage: Eukaryota; Metazoa; Chordata; Mammalia; Rodentia; Chinchillidae.